CUGCCACCUGCUUCUUCAGAAAUCAUCAAAGCUGAGCUACUGCCGCCUAAGCUCGAAGCUGGAUUAUCUCUCCUGAGAACAUCGUUCUAGAGAGUUACUAUGGUGAUCUCAUCCAUCUUGAUGGUGCUCUUCUCUACUAGAAGAGCAGUCAUCAAGGACUCAUAUGAAGGGAAGCGACACUAACAAGACCAAUACUCUGGCC
RNAcentral lists this long non-coding RNA (202 nucleotides) under Elaeis guineensis (African oil palm). Its description in RNAcentral is "long non-coding RNA (EGUI_LNC006326)". Lineage: Eukaryota; Viridiplantae; Streptophyta; Magnoliopsida; Arecales; Arecaceae. The record is from RNAcentral.